CCUACGGGGCGCAGCAGUGAGGAAUAUUGGUCAAUGGCCGGAAGGCUGAACCAGCCAUGCCGCGUGAAGGUCAGUGCCCUAUGGGCGUUAAACUUCUUUUGUGCGGGAGCAAUAAUGGUCACGUGUGGCCAGACGAGAGUACCGUACGAAUAAGCAUCGGCUAACUCCGUGCCAGCAGCCGCGGUAAUACGGGGGAUGCAAGCGUUAUCCGGAUUUAUUGGGUUUAAAGGGUGCGUAGGCUGUGAGGUAAGUCAGCGGUGAAAUGCCCCCGCUCAACGGGGUGAAGUGCCAUUGAUACUGCCUGGCUGGAAUGCGGAUGCCGUGGGAGGAAUGUGUGGUGUAGCGGUGAAAUGCAUAGAUAUCACACAGAACACCGAUUGCGAAGGCAUCUCACGAAUCCGCGAUUGACGCUGAUGCACGAAAGCGUGGGUAUCAAACAGGAUUAGAUACCCUUGUAGUC
This 460-nucleotide ribosomal RNA is filed under the name uncultured bacterium. RNAcentral's name for it is "partial 16S ribosomal RNA". It matches the Rfam family "Bacterial small subunit ribosomal RNA", at positions 338 to 795 of the family's 1533-position model. The record is from RNAcentral.